Molecule: long non-coding RNA, 2028 nt
Organism: Melospiza melodia melodia
Lineage: Eukaryota; Metazoa; Chordata; Aves; Passeriformes; Passerellidae
Exons: 6
Source: RefSeq, a predicted model, not a curated record
CCAUCCUAGAAGCAGCAAUAAACAGAGUAAUUACAUCUCUCUCUACAGCAUCCAUCAUGGAACCAGCCCCUGGCAGUGCCAACAUCUAUUUCCCCAAGAGUAUUGCCUGGCUGUGAUAUUUCUGCUUGGAAAAUGGCUCUGUGGAGUUCAGUCACCAAGAUGCUUUAUUUGAUGUCGGCCAAGCAGGAAAUACCAGCACAAUUACCACUACAGUGUAAGUGCAUUAUUGGUUUUGGAAAAAGAACCAUAAAAGCCUCAGCAACCUACCCCAGCAGGAUCCUGUCCACAGCAACGUUGGUGGAAGCAGCAAUAAGGAGUUUCCAUGGAGUUGCCCUCAGACCCUCUGUAGCUUCACUGCUUUCAAAGAGCUGCACGAGGAACAAGAUGACCACAGACAGCAAGUAGCUCUUGCCAGCUCCAAAAACACCUGGGGUUUUGGAAGAAAAAGCCCAAGUUACAAGUCAUCAUCUGAGCCACGUGAAUCAGCGAUGCUGCUUGGUCUGGGUUCAGCGAGAACCUCUGGAUCAUCUCUUCAGCCACUCCCAUUGCCACUUGAGAGCUCACAGGGCCAGACAUCAUGGAGCACUUCACACUCAUGGCAGAAAGAAAUCUUGACUCUUUAAAUGUAGAGAAAAUGUGUUAAAUCCUGCUGAAGUCCUGGGCUACUGGAAUAUUCAUAAACCUUGAAGUGGCAUGGCAUUUGAGGAUACCUCACCAAAAGCUGGCAUUCCUCAUAAACAGCAAUCUUUUGACUCCUGAGUGCAACUGAUCAAAGGAGCAGAAAAAACAAAGUGACACAUUGUGAAGUUCUAUGACAAAGGCUUCAGGAGAAGCAGUUCUGCACUCUGCAUUUUCCAGCACAGUUCCUCCUACUGCUGUUUCCUCUGGAGAUGAACAACCUCCUCCUAAAGGAUCUGAUUUCUGUGACAAGGCCAGCAGAGGGCUGCCUGGUUUCAUGUCACCACUCCUAGCAGCCCAGAAGUGCUCUGAGCCAACAUCUGGGGAUUCCAUACAUCCAAUCUGUGUAACUCCUCCCUCGGUCUUUUGGUCCAAGGGAGAAAUUAUUCUGCUGGGAGAAAUACCUGUGAGACUUCCAGUGGCUUCAGACAGCCUGGUUUCAGGGUGACAUUCAUUAACACUGGUGUCCCCAGGCAGGAGAGCAGAGUGCUGCUUUUUCACCCAGGAUGUGCCACUGAUGGUGAGUGCUGCACAGCCAUCCAGAUCCUCCUCUUGCUUUGAGCCUUCAAAACUUGUCUGACUCUCACUGAUCUCUUUUAUGUUGUGUCCAUCCCCUAGAAGUUCCACUUGGGUUUUGGUCUGGUUUGCAGCAUCUUCUGCAGCUCUCCUGGCAUCACUGUCACAAAGCUGGGGUGGUGGACCCCCCUCUCCAUCAGAUUUGGAACAUCUGAUUUCCUUUUUGCUUUGUGUCUCUAUGUCACAGCAAGAAUGAGGCCUCCAAUGAGGGCUCAAGGCAGCACCCUGUGCUACAUCUCCUCCCUGGGAGCUGCCUGGGCUCCAUGAAGGUGUGUCUCCCUCAGAAAAUCCCUUCCCUUCUCUCUCACACACAUCUUCAUUGUCCAUGUCAUUAAAAUCAAAAGCCUCCAUUAGGUUAAAGCUAACCUCCAUCAGUUCCCCAUCAGGACUACAGCCUGUGCCCUGCAAACUCAACUGCUCCUUCCCAACUCCAGCUUCAGCCAAUGCCACAUCCCCAGAGAGCUCUGGGUCAUUAGACAUUCCCUCUGAAUUUUGCCUUGGUUGAAGCUCACUCUGCAUCUUCACAGAGCAAUUCUCCCUAAGCCUGUCAGUCCCUGAAUGCUCCCUGUAUCCAAAGGGAUGGCUUUCAAAGGUGGUUGGACUUGCUGAAGGUGAAAUGUCACCUGAGGAUGGGACAAACUGACUGUCACUCAUUCUACUUACAGUGGACUCAGGUAGGAAGUAACUACUUGUGUUGCAGUCAUCUUGUAAAUCUUGACUUAAAUAAUUUACCUUUUUGUCUUGUCUGUGUCCUGUGACUUCUUCACCACAAGG